Oryctolagus cuniculus (rabbit) is the source of this 142-nucleotide ribosomal RNA. It matches the Rfam family "Eukaryotic large subunit ribosomal RNA", at positions 813 to 954 of the family's 3401-position model. The record is from Rfam. NCBI's taxonomy places the organism in Eukaryota, Metazoa, Chordata, Mammalia, Lagomorpha, Leporidae.
GAUUCAAAAGAUGGUGAACUAUGCCUGGGCAGGGCGAAGCCAGAGGAAACUCUGGUGGAGGUCCGUAGCGAUCCUGACGUGCAAAUCGGUCGUCCAACCUGAGUAUAGGGGCUAAAGACUAAUCGAACUAUCUAGUAGCUGG